RNAcentral lists this ribosomal RNA (253 nucleotides) under uncultured bacterium. RNAcentral's name for it is "partial 16S ribosomal RNA". It matches the Rfam family "Bacterial small subunit ribosomal RNA", at positions 524 to 776 of the family's 1533-position model. The record is from RNAcentral.
UACGUAGGCAGCAAGCGUUGUUCGGAAUUACUGGGCGUAAAGAGUAUGUAGGUGGUUUGUCAAGUCCGAUGUGAAAUCUCCCGGCUUAACUGGGAGGGUGCGUUAGAUACUAGCAAGCUUGAGUGUGGGAGAGGAGAGCGGAAUUCCUGGUGUAGCGGUGAAAUGCGUAGAUAUCAGGAGGAACGCCUGUGGUGUAGACGGCUCUCUGGACCAUUACUGACACUGAGAUACGAAAGCGUGGGUAGCAAACAGG